UUCAAACAAAUUCCCUUUCAUUUAUUUUUAUAAAAAAAAAACUAAACAUAAUCGAAUUUUUUUUUACAACCAGCCAGUAUGCCAUCAAUAACAAAAAAGUUUACAUACCAAUGCACUUUGAGUGAAUAAAAACUUAAUAUAAAUGGUAAAUUUGUAAUAUCAUGCAUGUUGAUUAGACUUUUUUGAUGUGUGAAUUUUGUGAAUAAAAAACCCAUGCGUAUCGAUUAUUAUUUACAUGAUUUCAAUAUAAUCGCUUCAAAUGUCAAAACUGAUUUUUGAGAGUCGGGUUGUUCUUUAUGCGUGGCACAUCACUUUACUCAUGUAUCCAUGAAGUAUAACAUUAUCGGUAUGACAUUUUAACUAAAAAAAUAUGAAACUUCAUAGGUGUGAAAUGUCAAAAGUAGGCGUGUGUAUGCCAAUUAUCUAUUUGUUGACCAUGUAUAGGGCUGCGUUAGUGGUUACGUAUGUGUGCGCAUGCUUGUGUUUAUUUGACUAGGGCGUGUCUAGGGCGUAAAGGUCUAAAAGGCAUAAAAGGCAUUUAUUUUCUCAAAAUUGAUUCCUUUAGAAUUCUUUUUAAUGUCAUUUCUUAUACUACUAGAUACUACUACCGCUUCGGAAACAAAUGGCGCUCUGAGAGAGAAGAAGCGGCGCAAGAAACUCUCCCAGCAUUCUUUUUUUGCGCUCUUUUCAAUAAAAAUAUACAAUACUGUACAGUCAUUUCUAUCGCUAUAAAAUAAUCACAAUCUAGUCCCAGGCUGUCCGAUCAUUUAGAUAUUCAGCAGUGGAGUAAUAGGAUUUACGACAGAGCCAUUUUUUUUAUAAAACAUUUAAAUGUAUUUAUAGAUAAUGCCUGAACAGUGGCUGGGACUUUAUUGUAGAAGUGUAUACAUUUACCCUUAAAGCUAUUAUGUAUCUUAUGAAGCCUACUAGAAUUAGUUACAAGCAAUCCCUUAUUUCAUGUGUUAUAAUAAUGAAAAUCACUAUUAAGAGCAAAAAGGUGACGAUUCUUAACAGUCAUAAUAUUUAUUUCUUUAAAUUUUUCUUUGAGAGACUGUCUAUAACUAAGCUGUUAUAUAACACGAACAGCUCUCUUUUGCAGAGCAGACACUAUAUCAAUGUCAGCAGCAUGACCCCAUAGUAAAAUACCGUACGUCAUGAUGCUGUGAAAAGGUCGGUAACGUUCUUGUGCCUGUCGCGGUGGUAACCAACCGGUGACCUGUAUGUAUGCUCGUUCGUAAGUAUAGUAAUCUUCCCUAAAAAAACAAAAAGCGAAUUGAAACGCGCCAAAAUUAACAUCCAAAUUUUUUGUGUUAACUUGAGUGUAAAUUUCGCUAAUAUUUGAAUUCAAUCAUUGAGAUACGUGUUUUGCCUCGUGUAGAGGCAUCCUCAGGAGGAGUUGACUAGCGGCGAGUUGAUGACAAAUACUAGCGGAAUUUACACUCAAGAUAACUAAAAGAAAUUGGAUAAUUAUGGAUUUCCUCAAUAUGACGCCAAAUUCAAUAAGUUUUCCAAAAUAAACACUUAAUCGUACCUCUAUACUAGGCGUUAUAUUCCAAUAGGUAUAUUAAACUGUGGUCGUUAUGUCGUAAGAGAAAUUCUUAGACUAUUCACAAAUAUGUCUUUGUCUACGUACCGGUUUGUGAUUGUCUAUGAAAAUACAACGAAAAUUAUUUUAUUAUUUGAUUAGAUAUUAGAAUUCUUGAAAAUUUAACUUUAGUCAAAGUUACAGCUUAAUUAUUUAUGUCUUUUUUUAUUUAAUUUCAUUUUUCGUAAGCAAUAUUUCUUAGUAAUUGAAUUAAGGUAAUUUGAAGUUUAUAUAACCACCAAAAUUAAUAUGCGAACUUAUCUAAGGAAGUAUUUUGUAUUAAAAUUGGUGAUAUACCAUUGCAUAAAUGUUAAAUUAUUAAUUUUCUGUAGCCAAUGCUUUGCUUUUGUUAACAUAGAUGUAAAAUGGUGUAAAGUGACAGUUGCAUCUGUAUAAACACUAAGCUAUUGUAAACAUAUUGGUAUUGUAUUGAACUGAAUUGUAAAGUGCAAAUUACAAACUUGUCUUUUAGUAUUGCACUCCAUACAUAUGUGUAAUAUGAUUCGUAUCACUUCUCACUUGCUUCUUAAUAAUUUACACUUAACCGUUUGAAUAUUAUAACUAGGCGCUUAAAAUGGAGACGAUCAUUUGACAAAUUUAUAUCUUUGAUAUUAUGUUUGAAACCACAAUCCAUGUACGUUCAUAUUCGUUUAAACAAACUGGAAAUAUAAUAAUCAUUGAUUACUUAGUGUUAAUUAUACCUUUAUCUACACCCAUGCUUUAAAUCCUCUAUUAAAGAUGCUAAAACAGCUAGCUUAUUGCUAACGAUAAAACACCUAAUGUCCUAAUAACCGUUACAUCAUCCAAACGAGUGUUGUAAUGAAAUUCAGUACAACAUUACAACAUUCGUUUGGAUGAUGUAAUAGUUAGUUAGGCUUUUUUAAUGUUAGCAAUAAGCUUACUGUUUCAGAAUCUUUUAUAGAGGAUUCAUAUUAUGGCUGUAGAUAUGUAUUGUAUGCAACUGUUGAUAAUUAGGUAUUAAAACACUAAUGUGAUACUAUUAUCAUUAUGAUAAACCGGCAUUUGUGUUUUUAUUAUUGGUAUUAACCCCUUAUUACACAACAGUGGCAUAAAUAUCUAUUUGAAUUGGCAAGGCUAUCUAAAAGAGACGCGCAACGUCUUUGAGGCAUACUGAGAGAACACGAGUCAUUGAUUUCGCGCUAUUUCACUACGAAUUAAAAAAAUAUACGAUAAUUUGUCGAUAUUCCCAAUUUUUCUGUCUCAGAGUUUUUACCUUAUUUAGUAAAAUGCUAUUUAUUUAGCUAGCAUCCGCAUGUUAUUUACACAGUUAUUUGUGGCUAUAUUUCUGUUGCAGUGUUUACGAUUGUUGUCUAAUCUAGUUGAUACUUGAUCGGAGAUGACGUAGUUUUACAAUGAUCACCAUAUUUUGCCUCUAACUGUACAAAUGCCUACGCUAACAUGUGCUAUGAAGACAAUUACAUUUUUGAUUUCUUUUUCUUAAUUUCUUAUUUGUGUGUGUGAAUAAUGUAACCCAAGAAGCAAAAGCGAUUAAAGGAGAUUUUUUCUUAAUAAUAUGCUUAGAGCCAGUUCUUUACCAGACUAGUCUGAUAAACAGAAUGUAUGUACAAAUAGUUCUUGGGGACUAUUAUUUCCAUUGAUGCCAAAAUAAAUUAUACGAAACUGAUUUAAUUGAAUAUGUUUCAGAUAAUACAUGGUUUUCAUUAAGAUUAUUUGUAAUAACUUUAAUCGAAUUAAAUUAAUUAACUUGCACUUCAGUUUUCUAAAGUCAUAUCGCAGAAAACUGUUUGGGCAGCUGUGAAAACGUCGAAAAAAAAAUAAUCUAGACCAAUGACAUUCUAUACAUAUGGACAUAUCAUUCGCAGUCUGAUAACGGAACGGCAAAAAAUUUGCUUAAAGACAGUCAGCACUUUUUCCACAAGCUUUUCUCCUUAGUCGUGUAUAAACUGUGUGUCACUGAACAAGCCUAAUUGUGCUAUAAAAAGUGCUUAAAUAAUACAUUAACGACUCAAAAAAAGAUGGCGUGACGUAUCAUCGGUAAGGUUAUUUUAUUUAUAUAAGAUUGAUACGCAAAAAGCGGAAGUAAUUUAUUAGAACGAAUAUUUUUUCAUUAAAUAUGGUACAAUUUUUUGGAGUCUGUUGCUAUUUUUAAAGGCCUAGUGAACAAUGAUUAGCAAUAUUGUAUUUUGUGUAAUGUGAACGGCCUACAAUACGUGUACAAUUUAUACUAGUGCUAUUUACACGUUAUCACGGAAAUAUCGUUACCUAGUGAUAUUUGAUACUUAUUUACAUCGCAAAUAUGUAAAAGCUAAUAUUUUUCAGCUUUCCCGUACACGAGAUAAUUAAAGAGAAUUGGCGCCAGUUGGUAGCAAGAGAGGGAUGUCAAAAAAUUACAAACCAAAUAAGCAUAUUUAUGGACUAGACUUAAGUCCGAAAGUGCCAAAAAAAUUUAUAUAAGAGUAGGAACGGCCAAUUUGCAAGCAUCAACAAAAAAAUAUCCAUACAGAACUGGAACGGCUACCGUGCAUGAAAAGUAUAAUAAUAAACACCCUGAUACGAAUCCUAAUUUUGAUUAUGACAUGGCAGUGGUAAAAGUAUCAAAAAAAUUUAAUCUUGAUGGCGUUAAUAUGGCCGCGGUUACCUUCGUGGAACCCGGAGAGCAGCCUGCUGAAGGUACAAACUGCACAGCGACUGGAUGGGGCCUUACAAAACAAGGCGGAGAAGGCUCCUCGGAUUUAUUGGCAGCCUUUCUUAGGUUUGUAAGUUAUGAAAAAUGUUUAAGAGUCUACAGAAGAUAUCUUACACCUAGAAUGGUUUGCGCUGCUUCUUUUACAACUCUUUCGAAGGGAGUGAUGAAUGUGUGUCAGGGUGAUUCCGGCGGUCCCCUCUUUGAAACUGAUUCCAUGAAAGUCAUUGGAUUGGUGUCUUUUUUAUUCAAUUGCAAUUCAGAUACACCUUCAGUUUUUACCAGCUUAGUCGAUCCUGGUAUGAGGAAAUGGAUAACAGAACAUACGAAAAUCGAAAAUUAAAUCAAGAGCAAUUUAGGAAUAAUAAGUUUGUAAAUUUUGCAUGCCUAGUUAAAUAAAUAUUUCCUU
Molecule: long non-coding RNA, 4659 nt
Organism: Leptidea sinapis
Lineage: Eukaryota; Metazoa; Arthropoda; Insecta; Lepidoptera; Pieridae
Exons: 5
Source: RefSeq, a predicted model, not a curated record